GAUGAACGCUGGCGGCGUGCCUAAUACAUGCAAGUCGAGCGAACAGACGAGGAGCUUGCUCCUCUGACGUUAGCGGCGGACGGGUGAGUAACACGUGGAUAACCUACCUAUAAGACUGGGAUAACUUCGGGAAACCGGAGCUAAUACCGGAUAAUAUAUUGAACCGCAUGGUUCAAUAGUGAAAGACGGUUUUGCUGUCACUUAUAGGUGGAUCCGCGCCGCAUUAGCUAGUUGGUAAGGUAACGGCUUACCAAGGCAACGAUGCGUAGCCGACCUGAGAGGGUGAUCGGCCACACUGGAACUGAGACACGGUCCAGACUCCUACGGGAGGCAGCAGUAGGGAAUCUUCCGCAAUGGGCGAAAGCCUGACGGAGCAACGCCGCGUGAGUGAUGAAGGUCUUCGGAUCGUAAAACUCUGUUAUUAGGGAAGAACAAAUGUGUAAGUAACUAUGCACGUCUCGACGGUACCUAAUCAGAAAGCCACGGCUAACUACGUG
RNAcentral lists this ribosomal RNA (497 nucleotides) under uncultured bacterium. Its description in RNAcentral is "partial 16S ribosomal RNA". It matches the Rfam family "Bacterial small subunit ribosomal RNA", at positions 28 to 507 of the family's 1533-position model. The record is from RNAcentral.